GUGGAGCCAGGUGUUUAAGCGCAUGUCGAGCCGUUAACUCGAAGGUCGGAGGUUUAGUGUUCGGGUUUCAG
Molecule: transfer RNA, 71 nt
Filed under: Syndesmis echinorum
Lineage: Eukaryota; Metazoa; Platyhelminthes; Rhabdocoela; Umagillidae
Description: tRNA-Asn
Source: RNAcentral